This 225-nucleotide unclassified non-coding RNA is filed under the name plant metagenome. Its description in RNAcentral is "partial contains small subunit ribosomal RNA, internal transcribed spacer 1, and 5.8S ribosomal RNA". The record is from RNAcentral.
UCUCCGUUGGUGAACCAGCGGAGGGAUCAUUACAGGACUCGCAAGACUCCUACAACCCUGUGAACUUAACUAUAAGCACGUUGCUUAGGCGGGUGUCUCGGAGGGGGUUCUCCCUCCCCGAGACGCUAAACCCGCCGGCAGCCUACUAUACUCUGUCUCUUUGCGUUGGCAUCUCGAGUACAAUCAAACAAGUUAAAACUUUCAACAACGGAUCUCUUGGUUCUG